AGGCUGGGUAACAUAAAGGUAAUGUAUUGGAUUGCAAAUCCUGGAAUGAUGGUUCAAGUCCGUCCUCAGCC
This 71-nucleotide transfer RNA is filed under the name Zygnema circumcarinatum. RNAcentral's name for it is "tRNA-Cys". It matches the Rfam family "tRNA". Rfam says of the family: Transfer RNA (tRNA) molecules are approximately 80 nucleotides in length. Their secondary structure includes four short double-helical elements and three loops (D, anti-codon, and T loops). The record is from RNAcentral. Lineage: Eukaryota; Viridiplantae; Streptophyta; Zygnematophyceae; Zygnematales; Zygnemataceae.